This 484-nucleotide ribosomal RNA is filed under the name uncultured bacterium. RNAcentral describes it as "partial 16S ribosomal RNA". It matches the Rfam family "Bacterial small subunit ribosomal RNA", at positions 30 to 507 of the family's 1533-position model. The record is from RNAcentral.
AUUGAACGCUGGCGGCAUGCCUUACACAUGCAAGUCGAACGGCAGCACGGGAGUAAUCCUGGUGGCGAGUGGCGAACGGGUGAGUAAAGCAUCGGAACGUGCCCAGUCGUGGGGGAUAACGUAGCGAAAGCUACGCUAAUACCGCAUACGAUCUGUGGAUGAAAGCGGGGGACCGUAAGGCCUCGCGCGACUGGAGCGGCCGAUGUCAGAUUAGGUAGUUGGUGAGGUAAAGGCUCACCAAGCCGACGAUCUGUAGCUGGUCUGAGAGGACGACCAGCCACACUGGGACUGAGACACGGCCCAGACUCCUACGGGAGGCAGCAGUGGGGAAUUUUGGACAAUGGGCGCAAGCCUGAUCCAGCAAUGCCGCGUGCAGGAUGAAGGCCUUCGGGUUGUAAACUGCUUUUGUACGGAGCGAAAAGGCUUCCACUAAUACUGGGGGCUCAUGACGGUACCGUAAGAAUAAGCACCGGCUAACUACGUG